AUACGGAGGGUGCAAGCGUUGUUCGGAAUUAUUGGGCGUAAAGAGCAUGUAGGCGGUUCGUUAAGUCUGAUGUGAAAGCCCGGGGCUCAACCCCGGAAGUGCAUUGGAUAUUGGCGAACUUGAGUACGGGAGAGGAAAGUGGAAUUUCGAGUGUAGGGGUGAAAUCCGUAGAUAUUCGAAGGAACACCAGUGGCGAAGGCGGCUUUCUGGACCGAUACUGACGCUGAGAUGCGAAAGCGUGGGGAGCAAACAGGAUUAGAAACCCCAGUAGUCC
This 274-nucleotide ribosomal RNA is filed under the name uncultured bacterium. Its description in RNAcentral is "partial 16S ribosomal RNA". It matches the Rfam family "Bacterial small subunit ribosomal RNA", at positions 523 to 796 of the family's 1533-position model. The record is from RNAcentral.